GUGUUCCCUCUCUUGCUGGCUGUCUCUCUCUCGCUGUCAAAUAAAUAAAAUCUUAAAAAAAAAAAAAAAAAGCUGGAAGGAUGCUCUGAAAGCCUCCGUGUUCUCUAGAGCUUAGAGGAAGGAGGCCGUCGGAGGUUAAGUCCCCACACCACAGACACAUUUCCCAGAAGCCGGGCAAGAGGAAGAGGGAAGUGCGGUGGAGCUCUCACCUCAUCUGGGCACGUCAGCCGUGAGCCAUGGGAUCCUUCUCACGUCGAGGGCACAGAUCCUCUAUUGCAGACAAGCACGUCAGUGCAUGGCAGCCCUGGAUACACAGCGAAAGGCUUUGCUGUGUGGCAGUCGCAGGAGCAAAGCGGAGAAUAAAUACUGGUCACCGACAUUACGGGGCACGAAAGAAAUCGCACGGCUGGGGGAGACAGGACCGAGGCGGCCGCGCUGCGCAGAGCACCCAGGUCGGCCGCUCGUCUCGGGCUACAGUGUGGAGCGGCGCCCAGAGCGAGCAGGGACUCUGCUCUGAGUAGAGAGUGAGGUGAAGGGAAGCGCCUCCAGCUGUUUCCAGCGGCUCCUCAGCGCACGCCAGAGAGGUUCGCAGCAGAGGUGCAAACAGGUGGGUGUGCAGCCACGUGUGUUCCUCACGUGCUCGCUGACCCCUGUUCUUCAGCCUCCAUGAGGCCUUCCCAAACAGGGGCUGUCAACAUUUUCGA
RNAcentral lists this long non-coding RNA (704 nucleotides) under Ursus maritimus (polar bear). RNAcentral describes it as "lncRNA (ENSUMAG00000022565.1)". The record is from RNAcentral. Lineage: Eukaryota; Metazoa; Chordata; Mammalia; Carnivora; Ursidae.